GCUUUAUUUGUUCAGAUGUUCUUUCAGCUACUCUAGACUGUAAGAAUACAGCAAUGCAGAAGCUGGUUUCUGCUAUUCCUCUUCAUCACCAGUAAUUUUUUUCUUAAGAGCUUGAAUAUCACUUCUCAGUUCAUCCCUUCCACUCUUAAAGAGAAGAUAUCUGUAGACGAACCAUCCAAAAUAUCCAAGCCCAACCAACUCCAAAAACUUGGGUAACAGUGGUAUGGAGUCUAAUGCAUCAGCAAUGAUUGAAGAAAACCAAAGACCAAGGAUUGCAGAACCUCCAUAAAGAAAGAUUGUGGGUUUCUUUUCAAGUCCAUCCCACGUG
RNAcentral lists this unclassified non-coding RNA (328 nucleotides) under Hevea brasiliensis (rubber tree). The record is from RNAcentral. Lineage: Eukaryota; Viridiplantae; Streptophyta; Magnoliopsida; Malpighiales; Euphorbiaceae.